UACUAUCUAAUAUCCCAUGGCACCUAAAUUUCUGCUAGUGAGCAUGUGGCCAGCCGCUUCAGUCUAAGUGCCCAGCUCAUGCCUAAGUCCCAGCAGGACCAUCAAGCUAGUUGGUUUCCUAUCUAUUUUGUCUGCAGAACCCACACAAAAUGGAAGAGGAAGAGGACUCUCUUCUAACCUUUUGUCCAGUGGUUAGGGCACUCACCAGAGAGACAGCACUGGGGAGUUAGAGCGACACAGAAAUAAAUUGGAAGUGAAACUUAAGAGACCAAGCUAAGCAAGAGGCAGAAGAGUCCAGGCAGAAGACAGAUGAGACCAGCCACAACCCCAAGAGAGGAAAAGGAAACUACCUGCCUAACAUUUAGCAAAAGCUCACUGAAGAGGCAAGGGUGUCAAUAGAUCCAUGUUGGCCAAAAAGCAGGAUGAGUGUGAGCAUGCAGUUCAAGAUCAUGCCUUUGCUCAAGUGGAGUUGCCCAUGGCACUUGGGGAAAUCAGGGAAUAUCCUUAUAGUAGGAGGAAGCAU
Long non-coding RNA from Mauremys mutica (yellowpond turtle), 523 nucleotides. RefSeq lists it as uncharacterized. The record is from RefSeq and is a predicted model, not a curated record. NCBI's taxonomy places the organism in Eukaryota, Metazoa, Chordata, Testudines, Geoemydidae. The transcript has 3 exons.